Molecule: ribosomal RNA, 786 nt
Filed under: uncultured bacterium
Lineage: Bacteria
Description: bacterial SSU rRNA
Rfam family: Bacterial small subunit ribosomal RNA
Source: RNAcentral
AGAGUUUGAUCAUGGCUCAGGAUGAACGCUAGCGGGAGGCUUAACACAUGCAAGUCGAGCGGGAUUAGCAGCAAUGCUAUGAGAGCGGCGCACGGGUGCGUAACGCGUAUGCAACCUGCCUUAUACAAAGGGAUAGCCCAUGGAAACGUGGAUUAAUAUCUUAUAGGACUUGAGAAUCGCAUGGUUUUCAAGUUAAAACUGAGGUGGUAUAAGAUGGGCAUGCGUCUGAUAGGUAGUUGGUAGGGUAACGGCCUACCAAGCCGACGAUCAGUAGGGGUUCUGAGAGGAUUACCCCCCACACUGGUACUGAGACACGGACCAGACUCCUACGGGAGGCAGCAGUGAGGAAUAUUGGUCAAUGGGCGAGAGCCUGAACCAGCCAUCCCGCGUGCAGGAUGACGGCCCUAUGGGUUGUAAACUGCUUUUCUGCUCCAAGAAACCCCCGGUCGUGACCGGGGUUGACGGUAGAGUAGGAAUAAGCAUCGGCUAACUCCGUGCCAGCAGCCGCGGUAAUACGGAGGAUGCAAGCGUUAUCCGGAUUCAAUGGGUUUAAAGGGUGCGCAGGUGGGAAUGUAAGUCAGUGGUGAAAUACUGCCGCUUAACGGUAGAGCUGCCAUUGAUACUGCGUUUCUUGAGUAUGGUUGAGGUAGGUGGAAUGUAUUGUGUAGCGGUGAAAUGCAUAGAUAUUGCGCAGAACGCCGAUUGGGGAGCCAGCUCGCCAGCUGAGUAUUGACGCUGAGGCACGAAAGCGUGGGGAUCAAACAGGAUUAGAUACCCUGGUAGUCC